Molecule: long non-coding RNA, 1077 nt
Organism: Empidonax traillii (willow flycatcher)
Lineage: Eukaryota; Metazoa; Chordata; Aves; Passeriformes; Tyrannidae
Exons: 3
Source: RefSeq, a predicted model, not a curated record
CAGGGGACAGUGGCAUCUUCCCCUCGGGCAGAGGCUGGGAGAGGGGCACAGAGGGCAAUAGCGCCUUCCCCUCAGGCAUGGACCAGGAGAGCAGUACAGGGGGCAAAUGGCACUUUUUAGUCCAGGCAGAGAUGAGGAUAGGAGUAGAGGGGACAAUAGCAUCUUCCUCUCAGGUAGAGAGCAGGAGGGUGGUACAGAGUGACAGAAUGGUGCCUUCGCCUCAGGAGGAAUAGUGCACAUAUCCAUGGAGUAACUGAUGCAGAUGACACAGGGACUAUUGCAGACACUCAGGGAAAUGUUAAGAUACGGCAACGUUUGAUUUACCACCACUUACACAAAGAGUUCAAACCUUCACAAUCUCCCGGAUUUAACCAACCCACGUGGCAGGGAAGGGGCACCGAUCCUGCCCCCACCUCACCCCACGGACGAUGCCGGUCACACACCGACCCACGAGGCUGCACCCCGCCAGGACAACCCAACCCCACCAGCAGCAGUUUGGUGGUUGAUCCCUGGGGGGGAAAAACCCUCUCUUUGGUGUCAGGAGCUCCUCUGCCCACCCUGGGCACUGGGAAGGGGCGGCCGCUGGCAGCCCCCAGCAUCCUCCUCGCCGUGUCCCUCCCAGGGAACUGAGCCCUUUUUGGCUCCACUCAUCCUUCGGAUGUUCUCCUGUGGUUGGAAAUGCACUGGAGGAGCUGGGAGCAGCUCAGUAGCAUCUCAGGGGGUUCUGGAAGUGCUGUCUCAGGGUUUGCCCGUGGGCGCUCCUAAAUGGCAGGGUGGGCUUUGGGACAAGACGUUGACAUCCAGGUUGCCACCCCCCAGGGCUGUGUUAUGCUGCUUUUGCUGGCACGUGCCAUAAACCAUCUGCUGGGAAUCAGCCUUGGGUGGCAGCACAGUGACAGGGCAGGAAGGUGCCCUGGCUCCAGUACCGGCAACUGAGCACCCCAUCUCCACACACCCAGGAUGGGCUGAGGCAGCCACCACCAGCACCCAAAUCAGCCCUGGGAGGGCAGCGAUACCAGGGAAAACCAGAGAGCACCACACUGCUUGUCUGUGACAGCCUCAACAAUCUUUAAAGUA